Brassica napus (rape) is the source of this 4633-nucleotide long non-coding RNA. RefSeq lists it as uncharacterized. NCBI's taxonomy places the organism in Eukaryota, Viridiplantae, Streptophyta, Magnoliopsida, Brassicales, Brassicaceae. The record is from RefSeq and is a predicted model, not a curated record. The transcript has 3 exons.
UCUGUAGAGAGGGGGAAAAGAUGACACGUGUCAUCCUCUCUUUCAAAGAUAAUUAUUUUUCGGUUUGCCCAAAUCUUAAUCCUUCAUUUCGAUGGCGACUAAUUUGAGGCGGAGGAUUAGCCAGAGAUGGAAGGAAAGUGGGUAGGGAGGACGCCGGAGGGAGUGGGACUGGUGGUGAAGCUAGCUGGUGGCGAUUAAGUAGCAGAGAGGGAUGAUUGCGAAGGUGGCGCGUUUUGUUGAUCAUAAAACGAGAGAUAAGUAUUUUUUGUCGCUACCUGCUAAAAAGAUAUGUGGAACUUUAAGUCAAUGACAGAUGAUGAUCCAAUGAAGUUUGGGUUUGGCUCACCAGCAAUCAAAGAUAAGAAGAAGAAGAAGAAGGCCUUCAAGCUAUAUAACAUUUGACGAUCCAUCCCUAAUCAAUCAGGUUCCAUCUCUUUCUCUCCCUCUCUCUGUUAUCCAUCGUUUCUCACUAUUUCUAAUCAGUUUUUCAUGAUGCCUUCGUUUGAGCUAAUUGUAUAUGUGUGGUUACGGAGUUGCCGGAACUGGGUAAAGAUUAUUCUGCUCAUAUGCUUAAUUAGUACACUCACGUGAGCUUCCCUUCCCUUUUUCACUAUCUUAUCUUGCUAAGAAAUUGAUAUGGUAAGAGCUUAAUAAUGUAUAGAAUGUGGUUACUAGCCUUUAAGUUGAAGGCAUGGUUUCUGUAUAAUGUGUAUGAAAUUCAUAUGUGUAACAGAGAUGAUAAGCUUUCUGUAUUGGAAGUGGGGGGUCUUCUUUUGAGAUGCCAAAACUGGAUGUUUUAAAAUGUUUCUCUAAUUGAUUUGCUAUAAUUUGAGGAGGCAAAUUCAGUAGACAGAUCGUCAGAGGUAUCUUGAUCCAAAAGUUACAAGCAUUUUUUCACAUAAUCAGGAUAGUGACUUGAAAAUGCUUCAGAUGGUUAGUUUGAUGAGCUUUUUAUUAAUAUGAAGAUAUGAAUUAAUAUAUAUUUGGUGAGGGUUUUAGGAGUUUAGAUUUUUGAGUUUCGUAUGAAUGUGAAACAAAUCAUCGAGCUUUGAUUUUAAUGAGACUGUGUGGAGUUUAUAAACUAUCAGUGUUGAUUAUUGUUGUGUAUAAUGAGUUUCUAAGCUAUCGCCUCUUUUUUGACUUGAAACUUGAUCGCCCGGAAAAACAGAAGUGGUCUUCUUCUGCUUGAAGGUAAAACGUAAGCCAAUCUGAAGAAAAGUACAAGAAGAGCGAGGGUUGGCGGUUGCAAUGUAAGUCAUUCUUUUACUUCUAUUAAGCGAAAGUAUGUCCUCUGAAAAUGAGAAAAACGUCUACCCACGCCUCUUCAGUUUGCUCCUACUCUCCAUCGACAAUAUAUGAGCUCAUGUUGUGUCUCAGUUCUGACUCAUGUCUAACUCCCCCACCACAAAUUCAUACACAACAAUAGACAAUAAAUAGCUCAAAUUUUAUCUGAUCACCGGCCAUACAUGUUCGAUUGAUGGACUUAGCCAUAUAUACUACAACUUCACAUCACAAUGUUAAAACUUACCUACCAUUCUUCUCAUGAUUUACAAUAAUUCACCAUGAAAGAAUAUGUGAAAUUUAUGCAUUGGUCAAUAUUCCAGGCUCUGCAAUAGUUCCAAGUAUAUGAAUACAACUUCAAACUCUCCAAACAGAUCUCAAAAAUGAAAUCGUGCAUUCUGAACUGAGGUGACUUUAAUCUAUUUUCUAUAAAUAAAUUCUGUUCUACGUGUGCUCAGUCCUCACUACAGCCUCCUUUCUAUUAGCACAUUAUUGUACGGUUAUGGACUCUUUUAUUUUGUGUUUACGGUCAUGUUUCAUUUUUUUUUAUCUUUGGUUCCAAACUAUAGCCUGAGCAUCUUAGAGAGCAUGCCGAAGAAGGAACAAAUGCAAUUUCUUAUGAACCUGAUGUGGAGAAGAACCUAAGGAGAAACACUUCUUCAAACCCCUUUCGAUAUACCCGAAACCGCACAGAGAAAUCACUCACUCACCCAGCUGCUUCAUGGUGAUUCUUGCAUAGAUGAGAAAUGAUUAGCACCAGACGUUUGUUGAUUGUUUCAUAAAUAAUGCUUGAUAGGAUUUUUAGUUGUGGUAGGUUUGUUUAAAGUUUGAUUUAUGUAUUUGAUGGUAACGUGACUUUCGGAUAUUUGAAUGAUACCAAAAAGAUGUGAAUAGAUAAGUUAAGAAACUAAUGGAUAUUGCUAGUGUAACAACUUGUCUAUUAUUAAAAGGUAAAGAUAACUUGCUGUAUUUAUCAUUCAACCAAUUAAUCAAUUUACCCACACUAAUUAUAUUCAAAGAUUCAAGAAGCGAACGUCAAAUUUGGUAAAUAUCAUCCGAAGCCAAGAACAGGCAAUAGACGAUAUCGAUAGGAUGACCAACCAUAGUCCAAAAAACAGAUCUUAUAAUCUAACACAAAGCUAUAAAACAUACAGAGAACAUGAUUGUUCGUUCAUGUACAUAAAUAAUUAAGAAAUUCAAAAUGUCUAUUUAAAGAAGUAUAUUUUUUUCACUAAACAUUACAGUUGAAUCUAUCUACGGUAGUCAUAAUCUAUAACAUGAUUCUUUAUUAGUUUAGCAAUUACAUAUGCCCGUUUCUUAGAAAUACUCCUAUAAUUUUCUGUGAUAGUAACUCAGUGUGUUACUUUGCCUUAGCAAUAAACUAAACACUUGAGAAUUUUGUAAUAAACUAAAGUCGAGAACUUCCAAAAUCUACCACCUAUUAAAGAACACAACGGUUCCUAUAAGUAUUAACCAAAACAAAACCUUAGAUAGAGGAGAAUAUCAGAGCACCUAUUCCACAUUGCUACAACAGGUUUUUAGAUACUUCUAAUUUCUUGAAUUUGACAUUAAUCCUAGAAAAUCAAGAAAGGUGAAUUGCACAUUCUAACUACACACAAGGAUUCAAAAGAUUUUCAAGCUUCAUCAACUGAGUAAGACUAGGAGACCAAGGGAUAGGCUGUAACAAUUAUAGAGUGUAACGAAGUAAUUAACAUCAGCAUAUGAGAAUUGUGAACUUGUCAUUUCACAUGUUUAGAAAUGAUCACAAUGGGUUUAGAGUAAUAAAACAAAGCCUAAACACUCAAGAUUCAAGAAAACUAUUACCACAAGCGGCAUGAUACAUCAUACAUACAAGCACCAAAUAAAGUAACAAUAUAAACACGAAAUAAAAUAUAACUUUUCAUGAAAGGAUAUAUUACCAAUCAGUUUAGAAUUCUACGGAUACUUAAUCAAAUAGUUAGUAAAUAUAUGAAAAGACUUAUAAAGAAAAAUUUCUGAUGCUUAAAUAAUAUUUCUUAUAAGGAUUAACAAGCAAUAAGUUUCUACAAUCUCACGAAUACUAGACCGAUGCCAAAAAUAUUGCCAAGACUCAUAGACUUGAUAACAGAUAAAAAUCACUGUUAUUGUAAAAACUCAAGUCAAUGUAUACAAUUUAUAGAAUCUAACACAAUAUUCGUUAGCUUACUAUGCAGAGUUGUGAAUAAGUCAUUUCACAUGUUUACAAUGAUCACUAAGGAUUAAGACUUAAGAAUAUAACACAAAGCAGAAACGUUCAAUAUAAAGAGACUACAACCACAUUAUGCAGAAGACUCUCACCUACGUUGAUCUAGAAGUGACCUCUUAAAAAUAAGAUACAUUAUAAUACAUAUAAACACCAAACUAAUUUAAAAUAGUAACUUUUUUCUAAUCAACAUACAUAUUACUAACGCAAUUUAGAUUGAUCACUGAGAGUAAGAGGAGCAUACACACAAAACAGAUACAUUCAAAAUUCAAGGACUAAAUACUCACACAAUGUAUAUGAUUUUCGCAUGUUGAUAUACAAGAGACUCUAAAAUAUACCAGUUACAUUUGUUUAUCUAAAGAGAGACCUUAUUCAUAAAAGCAUCAAACUAAAUAGAUACUAACAACAUGAUGGAAUCUCAAACCUAUGUUGAUUUACCAGAGAAUCCAAAAUACAUUGAUUUCAUAAAGUGAGACACCUUAUAAUACAUACAAGCAACAAAAUAAAGACAUUAUAACACGUUUAGAAUGACCACUGAUGGUUAAACGCGUGACACAAAUCAAAAACAUUGAAGAUUCAAAGAACAACCUACUACCACAGUUUACAGGAGUAUCUCACCUACCUUGAUCUACAAGAGACUCCUAGAUACUUCAUACGUCCAAGCACGAAAUUAAAGAUAACAGAGAUUGAACAUUGUAAACACAAUGCAAUGUUCCAAUAUUAAAAAAAAGAAUCUACUUGUUCAUCAAUGGGUUUUUCAGCAGUCAGUUUUUAGAAUCUCACGGAUGCUAAAUCAAUGAGAAACGUUGUCACUUACUUAGAUUAAACAUUGUAAAACAAUGUAAUGUUCCAAUAUUAAAAAAGAAUCUACUUGCAUAUCAAUGGAUAUGUUAGCAGUCAGUUUUUAGAAUCUCGUGGAUGCUAAAUCAAUGAGAAACGUUGUCACUUACUUAGUUUGUAUUCAUAUGUAAUAAUAUCAAAUUGUAAGAGAAAAAGUGAAGAAAAGCAUAUACCUGAACAAGCGUCAAUGAGGAUACGAACAAUACCUAAACAAAUGUAACUAGUAUUCACUUCAUAAUUGAAUGUAUCAACUAAGUAACAAACAAGUUUGGAAAAGCACAUACCUGUCAA